CCUACGGGUGGCAGCAGUGAGGAAUAUUGGUCAAUGGACGAGAGUCUGAACCAGCCAAGUAGCGUGAAGGAUGACUGCCCUAUGGGUUGUAAACUUCUUUUACAUGGGAAUAAAACGUUCCACGUGUGGGAUUUUGUAUGUACCAUAUGAAUAAGGAUCGGCUAACUCCGUGCCAGCAGCCGCGGUAAUACGGAGGAUCCGAGCGUUAUCCGGAUUUAUUGGGUUUAAAGGGAGCGUAGGUGGAUUGUUAAGUCAGUUGUGAAAGUUUGCGGCUCAACCGUAAAAUUGCAGUUGAAACUGGCAGUCUUGAGUACAGUAGAGGUGGGCGGAAUUCGUGGUGUAGCGGUGAAAUGCUUAGAUAUCACGAAGAACUCCGAUUGCGAAGGCAGUUCACUGGACUGCAACUGACACUGAGGCUCGAAAGUGUGGGUAUCAAACAGGAUUAGAUACCCCUGUAGUC
RNAcentral lists this ribosomal RNA (460 nucleotides) under uncultured bacterium. Its description in RNAcentral is "partial 16S ribosomal RNA". It matches the Rfam family "Bacterial small subunit ribosomal RNA", at positions 338 to 795 of the family's 1533-position model. The record is from RNAcentral.